This 3191-nucleotide long non-coding RNA is filed under the name Heterocephalus glaber (naked mole-rat). RNAcentral describes it as "lncRNA (ENSHGLG00000044873.1)". The record is from RNAcentral. Lineage: Eukaryota; Metazoa; Chordata; Mammalia; Rodentia; Bathyergidae.
UUGGCCAGACCAGUCCACAGCUCUUUCUCUGUCCACAGUCACUGCUGCGAGGAAAGAGCCCUGGCGUGGUCAGCACGGGAGGUACUGAGACACCGCCUCAGGCAGGGUGGCCACCUGGCCCCUUCCUAAGACAAUGCAAGACUGCUGGGAGGACUCCUUCAUAGUGCCUCAGAGGAGGGUCUGCCCAGGUCCUGCUGGCGGCUCACGCGCCGAGGCUCUUAGGAAGAGCCACUUCCGCUCCUGCCCGAGAACUGCUGUCCAGCUGGGAUCUCACGGCUGGUCCGCCAGCUGGCCUGUCCACGUGACCUGGAAGCAAGCUACCAAGCAACAGCACUCGGGGUGGAGGACAGGAGUGACACCUCUCCUGGGAGGCCUUGCGUGGAUGAAGACAGCCCAGCCCAGCAUGGAGGCCGGGAAGGCGGGCCUGGAGUCCGUCACUCAUUCCUGAAAUGACCAGAAGGCGGUUCGAGGGACCUCCAGGUGCUGAGCUGCUGCUGACAAAGCACGGGUGGGGGUGGGAGAGAGGCGAAGAGGGGGAAGGCAGGGGACCCACACCAGUUUCAAAGGCAGUGAGCCACUGCAGGGGCCAGGCGCUUGGCUGGCUCCACACGCCAUGCGCUGGCCCCAACCCACCUGGCUCAGGCCUCUCUCCUCUGCUUUCCUGAAGGCUGUGCUUGGGUUUUCAGGGCCUGCUCCCGUCCUACGAUGACACCAUCUCUUGGGCCCUCACAAGAGCGGACUCCCCUGGCCCUGGGGCGCAGGGCCCUUCCCCACUUGGCUCACCAAGUCCAAAGGCCUGGGCCCCACUGUCCAGGGCUUCCUUCCCCAGCCAGCCAUCCGCCUACCCGUCCCUGCUUUCAGGACUUUGGGGCCUGUGCCCUGAGGCAGGAGACUAGGGCACUGCAGGCUGGCUGAAAAUAGGUUUCGGAUGUAACCCAAGCCUGACUGGAGACUGAUCAACAGGAUGUGAUGUGUAGCAUCACAGCCAGGCUGCGUGGGCAGAGCAGCUUCCUCCCAGUCAGAGUCUGGGGAGGAUCCGAAAGACAGUGGCCACUGACCGCUGCCUCUGAGACCCUGCUGUCCCGAUGCUUCCUGUUUUUGCAGUGGCCAUCCUGCACCCGGUCCGUAUCUCUUCUUGCUGUUCUCUUCUGCACUUUCCCUUUCUUUCUCUACCUUAAAUGAAAGUUGUGUCCACCCAUUCAUCUGCUGUCCCUGCCAAUUCUUUGGGCAGGACAGGAAGAGCCUGGGGUCCCCAGGACCUGGCACCAUCCAGCCGCAGCCUGGGACCCAGCAGCUCAUUCCCAGCUGCUGUCUGUGCCUGAUAUCCCUGGACUUCGCACACAGCAGGAGGAGGGGCCCUCUGACCAGGGGCCGUGUCCCUCCCAGCCCAGGCCUCCCGGAGGCCCAUCUGUGUCAGUUUCCCAGGGUGGUGGUCACAGAUGACAGCAGAGCUGUCUUCUCGCACAGUUCUGCAAGGCAAGGCUGAAAUGGAGUGGCGGCAGGGCCCCGUCCCGACCCCCCUGCCUUCCCCAGCCCCUGACCCCUGGCCACUGCAGUCUUUGCCUCUGGCUUUCCUGGUCUCCCCUCUUUCCCCACGUCUGUCCUCUGCAUGUCACUGCAAAAGCCCUUGUGUUGGAUGAUCGGCUGAGCGCAUCUCGAGGCUCCCUGGGGUGACUGCACUUGCAAUUUCACACACUGGUAGGCUCCUCGGAUAGGACUCCAGCACAGGCUCUUGGGGCCACCACUCGACCCCGACAGCAUCUCCUGAGACACUCCCAGGUCACGGCAUGGCUGCCGCCAUCCUGCCUCCCCCCGCCGUCCCUCUGGCUCACGGGGUGCUCCAGCCCCGGGGCUUCCUGACACUCUUCAGGGCCGGUCACCGGUCUGGCACCAGGGGAGGCCUCCUCCCACCGCGUCAGAGUGCACCUCAAACACUCCUCUCCAUGCUCCAUCUGCCCCUGAUCACCACCGCGGAGCCAGUCACCGCUUCAUCUUGUUCUCCUCCCCCCUGCAGCAGAAGCCAGGGAAGUUUGUAAGUUCUGCCUUGUUCUUGUGGUGCUGGGGAUUGAACCCAGGGGCACUGAGCUACAGCCCCAGCUCUUUGGUUAAGUUUUUACUUUGAGAUGGGGUCUUGCUAAGUCGCCCACGCUGGCCUCUGACUGCAGCCUCCUGAGUAGCUGGGAUGGCAGGUGUGCGCCUGCCUCACCCGGCUAAAUCCCACUGCUGUGUCCCAGCAGCCAGUAUAAUGCCUGGCACUGGCUGGCUGUGGCUGAGUGGAUGAAUAAGCAAGCCUUUGCCAGAGCUGAACUCUCAGCUGCCAGGAGUCCACGGCCACCUGAAGAUCACCACAGCUCCCUGCAGGCCUCCGCUACCCUUGGACUCUCUGGGGGCUCCAAUCCCGGCGUGGCCGCCUUUUCAAGUGCACGAGUCCGGAGAGGGGCCAUGUGGGUCUAGAACAUGCUUCCUCACGCACAGCACAAAGCAGCUGUGGGCCUUGACCCUUCAGCGCCCCUCCUUCCUGGCCCGGCCCAGGAUGUGUCACCCCUCUGCUGAUGGCUGGCUCCAAGUGCUGGAAUCCCGCUUCCUCCCCUCUACACCCGGGCAUCCUGACCAUGAAGACAGCUGUGCUGCGGCAGCGGAGCACUGGUCAGACGGUGUCUGAUGCUUGAGCCAGGCUUCUGGGGAAAGCAGGGCCCUGUGCCCCCCAAGUGAGGUCUGCUGUGGGUGUGCAGGUGACUGAGGCCCCGGGGGCUGAGGCUGGGUGAGCUGCUCGGGAGAGUGCUUUGGCCACAGAGCUAGGUGAGUCUGUGGGUUUGGGAGGCAGAGAAAAGGCCCUGGGGCAGGAGGCCCAAGUGGCGGCUGUGUUUGGAGCACUCUGAGGCCAGUGUGGGCUGUAGGCUAGGAAGGCCGUGCCGGCCCAGCGGGAAAGGGGGGUCCCCGGGCUGAGGCCCAGGUCGCUACUCUGCAUCCUGCAAGGCUGUGGCCCUUGGCAGCGGAGGCUGGUCCCCGGCAGGGUCUGGAUGAGAAGGCCACGCUUCACCAGGGAUGGUUGGAAGUGAGGCCUCCUGUCCUCAUCCUGUCAGGCUAUAAAAACCGAAACGCCACACGCCCGAGGAGGCCUAACAACAACAGAAAUGAUCUGAGUUCCAGAGGCAGGAGGCCCAAGACCAAGGGCCUGCAGAUUCCUCGCG